GAUGAACGCUGGCGGCGUGCCUAAUACAUGCAAGUCGAGCGAACAGACGAGGAGCUUGCUCCUCUGACGUUAGCGGCGGACGGGUGAGUAACACGUGGAUAACCUACCUAUAAGACUGGGAUAACUUCGGGAAACCGGAGCUAAUACCGGAUAAUAUAUUGAACCGCAUGGUUCAAUAGUGAAAGACGGUUUUGCUGUCACUUAUAGAUGGAUCCGCGUCGCAUUAGCUAGUUGGUAAGGUAACGGCUUACCAAGGCAACGAUGCGUAGCCGACCUGAGAGGGUGAUCGGCCACACUGGAACUGGGACACGGUCCAGACUCCUACGGGAGGCAGCAGUAGGGAAUCUUCCGCAAUGGGCGAAAGCCUGACGGAGCAACGCCGCGUGAGUGAUGAAGGUCUUCGGAUCGUAAAACUCUGUUAUUAGGGAAGAACAAAUGUGUAAGUAACUAUGCACGUCUUGACGGUACCUAAUCAGAAAGCCACGGCUAACUACGUG
RNAcentral lists this ribosomal RNA (497 nucleotides) under uncultured bacterium. RNAcentral's name for it is "partial 16S ribosomal RNA". It matches the Rfam family "Bacterial small subunit ribosomal RNA", at positions 28 to 507 of the family's 1533-position model. The record is from RNAcentral.